RNAcentral lists this ribosomal RNA (371 nucleotides) under uncultured organism. RNAcentral's name for it is "bacterial SSU rRNA". It matches the Rfam family "Bacterial small subunit ribosomal RNA", at positions 527 to 896 of the family's 1533-position model. The record is from RNAcentral.
CGGGGGGGUAAGCGUUGUUCGGAAUUACUGGGCGUAAAGGGCUCGUAGGCGGCCAACUAAGUCACACGUGAAAUCCCUCAGCUUAACUGGGGAACUGCGUGUGAUACUGGAUGGCUUGGAUCUGGGAGAGGGAUGCGGAAUUCCAGGUGUAGCGGUGAAAUGCGUAGAUAUCUGGAGGAACACCGGUGGCGAAGGCGGCAUCCUGGACCAAUAUUGACGCUGAGGAGCGAAAGCCAGGGGAGCAAACGGGAUUAGAUACCCCGGUAGUCCUGGCCCUAAACGAUGAAUGCUUGGUGUAGCGGGUAUCGAUCCCUGCUGUGCCGAAGCUAACGCAUUAAGCAUUCCGCCUGGGGAGUACGGUCGCAAGGCUG